CGUAAGGUCCGAGCGUUGUCCGGAAUCAUUGGGCGUAAAGGGUACGUAGGCGGGUAAGCAAGUUAGAAGUGAAAUCCUAUAGCUCAACUAUAGUAAGCUUUUAAAACUGCUCAUCUUGAGGUAUGGAAGGGAAAGUGGAAUUCCUAGUGUAGCGGUGAAAUGCGCAGAUAUUAGGAGGAAUACCGGUGGCGAAGGCGACUUUCUGGCCAUAACCUAGACGCUGAGGUACGAAGACGUGGGUAGGCAAACAGGAUU
Molecule: ribosomal RNA, 255 nt
Filed under: uncultured bacterium
Lineage: Bacteria
Description: partial 16S ribosomal RNA
Rfam family: Bacterial small subunit ribosomal RNA
Source: RNAcentral